CAACAUAUACAACACUUAGAACAGAGAAAGUGUUACCCUCCUUCUUCGCGGCCGGAGAAGAACGGCCUUCAACCACCGGAUGAAACUAAGUCCGGUCACCGGAAAUUGCAGAUAAAGAGAAACUCACCAGAAUCAGGUCACAAACGUCGGAAACUUACCCAAAGCGUCUAUCGACCGAAGGUAAGAUCAUCGGAUAAUAUCAAAACCCCUGGUCCGAAAGUCGGAAACCCUAGAUUUUGAAGAGCUCACCGGAAUAAGACCAGAGAUGUCGGAAAAUCACCCAAAACAUCUACUGAUACAUGAUCGGAGCCUCAAACAGUCAGAGAAGUCCCGAUUAUCCGAUUUACAUUCAUCGAAAAAUAUACGAACAGUAUUUUUCUCAGAUAACCGAAGAAAAACUUCAGUAAAAGC
Molecule: long non-coding RNA, 411 nt
Filed under: Nicotiana benthamiana
Lineage: Eukaryota; Viridiplantae; Streptophyta; Magnoliopsida; Solanales; Solanaceae
Description: long non-coding RNA (NBEN_LNC009589)
Source: RNAcentral